Molecule: long non-coding RNA, 228 nt
Filed under: Solanum tuberosum (potato)
Lineage: Eukaryota; Viridiplantae; Streptophyta; Magnoliopsida; Solanales; Solanaceae
Description: long non-coding RNA (STUB_LNC001607)
Source: RNAcentral
GCUAUAUGUGAAGGAAUGAUGUGAAUGAGUUUUAUGUGAAGCUAUAUGUGAAGGUAUGAUGUGAAUGAAGAUAAUGUGAUCAUGUUAUGAAUGUAAAGGUGUUGUUGUAGGUUGUUCACUGAUUUGGUUGCAUAAUUACUACCCUAUUUUCCAUGCUCUUUGAUUCCAUUACAUGCCUUCAAGGUGUUUGACAAAAUGUCCAACUAUGGAGAAUUGAUGAAUCGAUGC